UACGUAGGGUGCAAGCGUUAAUCGGAAUUACUGGGCGUAAAGCGUGCGCAGGCGGUGAUGUAAGACAGAUGUGAAAUCCCCGGGCUCAACCUGGGAACUGCAUUUGUGACUGCAUCGCUGGAGUGCGUCAGAGGGGGAUGGAAUUCCGCGUGUAGCAGUGAAAUGCGUAGAUAUGCGGAGGAACACCGAUGGCGAAGGCAAUCCCCUGGGCCUGCACUGACGCUCAUGCACGAAAGCGUGGGGAGCAAACAGG
This 253-nucleotide ribosomal RNA is filed under the name uncultured bacterium. Its description in RNAcentral is "partial 16S ribosomal RNA". It matches the Rfam family "Bacterial small subunit ribosomal RNA", at positions 524 to 776 of the family's 1533-position model. The record is from RNAcentral.